Molecule: unclassified non-coding RNA, 242 nt
Filed under: uncultured Helotiales
Lineage: Eukaryota; Fungi; Ascomycota; Leotiomycetes; Helotiales
Description: sequence contains ITS2
Rfam family: 5.8S ribosomal RNA (bases 1-52)
Source: RNAcentral
AACGCACAUUGCGCCCUCUGGUAUUCCGGGGGGCAUGCCUGUUCGAGCGUCAUUAUAACCACUCAAGCUCUCGCUUGGUAUUGGGGCUCGCGGUUUCGCGGCUCCUAAAAUCAGUGGCGGUGCCUAUCGGCUCUACGCGUAGUAAUACUCCUCGCGAUUGAGUCCGGUAGGUCUACUUGCCAGCAACCCCUAAUUUUUUUAAGGUUGACCUCGGAUCAGGUAGGGAUACCCGCUGAACUUAA